Molecule: ribosomal RNA, 447 nt
Filed under: uncultured Megasphaera sp.
Lineage: Bacteria; Bacillati; Bacillota; Negativicutes; Veillonellales; Veillonellaceae
Description: bacterial SSU rRNA
Rfam family: Bacterial small subunit ribosomal RNA
Source: RNAcentral
UGGGGAAUCUUCCGCAAUGGACGAAAGUCUGACGGAGCAACGCCGCGUGAACGAUGACGGCCUUCGGGUUGUAAAGUUCUGUUAUACGGGACGAAUGGCGUAGCGGUCAAUACCCGUUACGAGUGACGGUACCGUAAGAGAAAGCCACGGCUAACUACGUGCCAGCAGCCGCGGUAAUACGUAGGUGGCGAGCGUUGUCCGGAAUUAUUGGGCGUAAAGGGAGCGCAGGCGGGAGAUCAAGUCUAUCUUAAAAGUGCGGGGCUCAACCCCGUGAGGGGAUGGAAACUGGUCUUCUUGAGUGCAGGAGAGGAAAGCGGAAUUCCUAGUGUAGCGGUGAAAUGCGUAGAUAUUAGGAGGAACACCAGUGGCGAAGGCGGCUUUCUGGACUGUAACUGACGCUGAGGCUCGAAAGCGUGGGGAGCGAACAGGAUUAGAUACCCUGGUAGU